Molecule: unclassified non-coding RNA, 264 nt
Filed under: uncultured Plectosphaerella
Lineage: Eukaryota; Fungi; Ascomycota; Sordariomycetes; Glomerellales; Plectosphaerellaceae
Description: sequence contains ITS2
Source: RNAcentral
AACGCACAUGGCGCCUUCCAGUAUCCUGGGAGGCAUGCCUGUCCGAGCGUCGUUUCAACCCUCGAGCCCUCGUGGCCCGGCGUUGGGGAUCUGCCACGGCAGGCCCCUAAAACCAGUGGCGGACCCGAAGGGCCCUCUCCUUUGCGCAGUAGCAUUCGCCUCGCAUUGGGAGUCCUCGGCGUCCUGCCUCUAAACCCCCCACAAGCCCGCUUCGGCGGCACCAAGGUUGACCUCGGAUCAGGUAGGAAUACCCGCUGAACUUAA